UGCGUAGGCGGGUCUUUAAGUCAGGGGUGAAAUCCUGGAGCUCAACUCCAGAACUGCCUUUGAUACUGAAGAUCUUGAGUUCGGGAGAGGUGAGUGGAACUGCGAGUGUAGAGGUGAAAUUCGUAGAUAUUCGCAAGAACACCAGUGGCGAAGGCGGCUGUCUGGUCCGGUUCUGACGCUGAGGCGCGAAAGCGUGGGGAGCAAACA
RNAcentral lists this ribosomal RNA (207 nucleotides) under uncultured bacterium. RNAcentral's name for it is "partial 16S ribosomal RNA". It matches the Rfam family "Bacterial small subunit ribosomal RNA", at positions 568 to 774 of the family's 1533-position model. The record is from RNAcentral.